This is a long non-coding RNA of Clupea harengus (Atlantic herring), 595 nucleotides long. The record is from Ensembl. NCBI's taxonomy places the organism in Eukaryota, Metazoa, Chordata, Actinopteri, Clupeiformes, Clupeidae.
AUCCAUCUCUUUCACCCCCAAACCACUAACAGCUGCUCCUCCCACACAAACACCAGCCUCAUCCAGUGGGGGGGAUUCCAAAGUGUUCGGGUGUGGUCAGGUGUGGUCAGGUAUGGUCAGGUGUGGUCAGGUAUUCAGGUAUGGUCAGGUAUGGUCAGGUGUGGUCAGGUAUGAUCAGGUAUUCAGGUGUGGUGAGUUAUGGUCAGGUGUGGUCAGGUGUGGUCAGGUAUGGUCAGGUGUGGUCAGGUAUGAUCAGGUAUUCAGGUGUGGUGAGUUAUGGUCAGGUAUGGUCAGGUAUGGUCAGGUGUGGUCAGGUAUGAUCAGGUAUUCAGGUGUGGUGAGUUAUGGUCAGGUGUGGUCAGGUGUGGUCAGGUAAGGUCAGGUGUGGUCAGGUAUGAUCAGGUAUUCAGGUGUGGUGAGUUAUGGUCAGGUAUGGUCAGGUGUGGUCAGGUAUGAUCAGGUAUUCAGGUGUGGUGAGUUAUGGUCAGGUAUGGUCAGGUAUGGUCAGGUGUGGUCAGGUAUGAUCAGGUAUUCAGGUGUGGUGAGUUAUGGUCAGGUGUGGUCAGGUAAGGUCAGGUAUGGUCAGGUAUUCAGG